ACCCGUCCCGUUCGUCCCCGGACGUUGCUCUCUACCCCGGGAACGUCGAGACUGGAGC
Chlorocebus sabaeus (green monkey) is the source of this 58-nucleotide microRNA precursor. Lineage: Eukaryota; Metazoa; Chordata; Mammalia; Primates; Cercopithecidae. The record is from Ensembl.